ACGGCUCAGUAACACGUGGACAACCUACCCUACGGAGGGGGAUAACCCCGGGAAACUGGGGAUAAUACCCCAUAGACUAUGGAUGCUGGAAUGCUCUGUAGCCGAAAGGUCCGCCGCCGUAGGAUGGGUCUGCGGCCGAUUAGGUUGUUGUUGGGGUAACGGCCCAACAAGCCUGUAAUCGGUACGGGUUGUGGGAGCAAGAGCCCGGAGAUGGAUUCUGAGACACGAAUCCAGGCCCUACGGGGCGCAGCAGGCGCGAAAACUUUGCAAUGCGGGAAACCGUGACAAGGGAACUCUGAGUGCCCGUAAAAUCGGGCUGUCCAUCGGUUUAAAUAACCGGUGAAGAAAGGGCCGGGCAAGACCGGUGCCAGCCGCCGCGGUAAUACCGGCGGCUCGAGUAGUGGCCACUAUUACUGGGCUUAAAGCGUUCGUAGCUGGUUUGUUAAGUCUCUGGGGAAAUCUUCCGGCUUAACCGGAAGGCGUCUCAGGGAUACUGGCAGACUAGGGACCGGGAGAGGUGAGAGGUACUCCAGGGGUAGGAGUGAAAUCCUGUAAUCCUUGGGGGACCACCUGUGGCGAAGGCGUCUCACCAGAACGGCUCCGACAGUGAGGGACGAAAGCUGGGGGAGCAAACCGGAUUAGAUACCCGGGUAGUCCCAGCUGUAAACGAUGCGCGUUAGGUGUAUCGGUGACCACGAGUCACCGAGGUGCCGAAGAGAAAUCGUGAAACGUGCCGCCUGGGAAGUACGGUCGCAAGGCUGAAACUUAAAGGAAUUGGCGGGGGAGCAC
Molecule: ribosomal RNA, 789 nt
Filed under: uncultured archaeon
Lineage: Archaea
Description: bacterial SSU rRNA
Rfam family: Archaeal small subunit ribosomal RNA
Source: RNAcentral